RNAcentral lists this ribosomal RNA (465 nucleotides) under uncultured bacterium. RNAcentral's name for it is "partial 16S ribosomal RNA". It matches the Rfam family "Bacterial small subunit ribosomal RNA", at positions 28 to 507 of the family's 1533-position model. The record is from RNAcentral.
GACGAACGCUGGCGGCGUGCUUAACACAUGCAAGUCGAACGGUAAGGCUCCAGCUUGCUGGGGUACACGAGUGGCGAACGGGUGAGUAACACGUGGGUGACCUGCCCUGCACUUCGGGAUAAGCCUGGGAAACUGGGUCUAAUACCGGAUAGGACCGCACCGUGAGGGUGUGGUGGAAAGUUUUUUCGGUGUGGGAUGGGCCCGCGGCCUAUCAGCUUGUUGGUGGGGUAAUGGCCUACCAAGGCGGCGACGGGUAGCCGGCCUGAGAGGGUGGACGGCCACAUUGGGACUGAGACACGGCCCAGACUCCUACGGGAGGCAGCAGUGGGGAAUAUUGCACAAUGGGCGGAAGCCUGAUGCAGCGACGCCGCGUGGGGGAUGACGGCCUUCGGGUUGUAAACUCCUUCCACCAUCGACGAAGGGUUUCUGACGGUAGAUGGAGAAGAAGCACCGGCUAACUACGUG